AGUGAACGCUGGCGGCGUGCUUAACACAUGCAAGUCGAACGAGAACGGAAUAUAGCUUGCUAUAUUUGUCAGCUAAGUGGCGCACGGGUGAGUAAUGUAUAGAUAACCUGCCCUCUAGAAAGGAAUAACAGUUGGAAACGACUGCUAAUGCCCUAUAUGCCUUUAAUACAUAAGUAUGCAAGGGAAACGCUUUAGUGCUAGAGGAUGGGUCUGUAUGGUAUCAGCUUGUUGGUGAGGUAAUGGCUCACCAAGGCUAUGACGCCUAACUGGUUUGAGAGGAUGAUCAGUCACACUGGAACUGAGACACGGUCCAGACUCCUACGGGAGGCAGCAGUGGGGAAUAUUGCACAAUGGACGAAAGUCUGAUGCAGCAACGCCGCGUGGAGGAUGACACAUUUCGGUGCGUAAACUCCUUUUAUAUAGGAAGAUAAUGACGGUACUAUAUGAAUAAGCACCGGUUAACUCCGUGCCAGCCGCCGCCGUAA
RNAcentral lists this ribosomal RNA (485 nucleotides) under uncultured bacterium. Its description in RNAcentral is "partial 16S ribosomal RNA". It matches the Rfam family "Bacterial small subunit ribosomal RNA", at positions 29 to 523 of the family's 1533-position model. The record is from RNAcentral.